This 913-nucleotide ribosomal RNA is filed under the name uncultured marine archaeon. RNAcentral's name for it is "bacterial SSU rRNA". It matches the Rfam family "Archaeal small subunit ribosomal RNA", at positions 1 to 922 of the family's 1478-position model. The record is from RNAcentral.
UCCGGUUGAUCCCGCCGGACCUGACUGCUAUCGGAUUGAUACUAAGCCAUGCGAGUCGUUGUAGCAAUACAAGGCAUACGGCUCAGUAACGCGUAGUCAACCUAACCUAUGGACGGGAAUAACCUCGGGAAACUGAGAAUAAUGCCCGAUAGAACAUUAUGCCUGGAAUGGUUUAUGUUCCAAAUGAUUUAUCGCCAUAGGAUGGGACUGCGGCCUAUCAGUUUGUUGGUGAGGUAAUGGCCCACCAAGACUAUUACAGGUACGGGCUCUGAGAGGAGUAGCCCGGAGAUGGGUACUGAGACACGGACCCAGGCCCUAUGGGGCGCAGCAGGCGAGAAAACUUUGCAAUGUGCGAAAGCACGACAAGGUUAAUCCGAGUGAUUUCUGCUAAAGAGAUCUUUUGUUAGUCCUAGAAACACUAACGAAUAAGGGGUGGGCAAGUUCUGGUGUCAGCCGCCGCGGUAAAACCAGCACCUCAAGUGGUCAGGAUGAUUAUUGGGCCUAAAGCAUCCGUAGCCGGCUCUGUAAGUUUUCGGUUAAAUCUAUGCGCUCAACGUAUGGGCUGCCGAAAAUACUGUAGAGAUAGGGAGUGGGAGAGGUAGACGGUACUCGGUAGGAAGGGGUAAAAUCCUUUGAUCUAUCGAUGACCACCUGUGGCGAAGGCGGUCUACCAGAACACGUUCGACGGUGAGGGAUGAAAGCUGGGGGAGCAAACCGGAUUAGAUACCCGGGUAGUCCCAGCUGUAAACGAUGCAGACUCGAUGAUGCAUUGGCAUAUAGCCAGUGCAGUGUCGCAGGGAAGCCGUUAAGUCUGCCGCCUGGGAAGUACGUACGCAAGUAUGAAACUUAAAGGAAUUGGCGGGGGAGCACCACAAGGGGUGAAGCCUGCGGUUCAAUUGGAUUCAACGCCGGA